Triplophysa dalaica is the source of this 406-nucleotide long non-coding RNA. RefSeq lists it as uncharacterized. The transcript is spliced from 3 exons. Lineage: Eukaryota; Metazoa; Chordata; Actinopteri; Cypriniformes; Nemacheilidae. The record is from RefSeq and is a predicted model, not a curated record.
GAAUCUACAGGUAUAGUGAUUAUAUUGGGAGUACUGUUGGGUGUUUGUGUGGUUGUGAUUAUUGCCCAAGCUGUCUCAUACCAUAAAAAUGAACGAUAUUACAACAAAGACACAGAUGAAAAACAUCCUUCAUGUCAGGACUGUGAUGCAGUGCAUUUGCAUUAUGCUGCUCCAAAAUUUAAGGAGGGAAAACCCAGAAGAAUGAAAGGAAAAGAAGCUCCUCAGGACAGCGUGUACAGCCAACUGAAUGAUCCCAGUGUUGUUGAAUAUAGGAUAACUGAGUAAAAACUGCCUGUGUGGCAAUGAUAGAAAUGAGUGUAUACUGUAGUGCAGAAAAUGUAACAAGACACAUUAAACACCUUAAUCCUUAUAAAAUGUGACCUAAUAUUUCUACAAUUAAAUUUUC